ACCAGGAAGUGCAGUGGUUACAGCUGCAAGCUUUGGACUUGAAGGUUGUAGGUUUGAAUCCCACCUCUUGUUG
Molecule: transfer RNA, 73 nt
Filed under: Scleropages formosus (Asian bonytongue)
Lineage: Eukaryota; Metazoa; Chordata; Actinopteri; Osteoglossiformes; Osteoglossidae
Description: tRNA-Gln
Source: RNAcentral